AGCUAGUAAAGCGGUGCAUAAUUAUAACUGUUGUCUAGUAGAGUUUUCGAGCAAGUGACUUCCAGUUUGGGUUGCCUUCGGAUUCCACCGGAAGGCGCUUAUCAAGAGUAAACAUGCCACGUCGUGCAACAGUGCGCCAAUGCAAGGCCUAAGAAGGAGCACCAAGCGAGGAUAAUAUCCAAGAGAGAAUCCGGAAAUGACCAUUGGCUUCCCAGGAUCGACUCAAGUGAAAAAGGAUACUCCAUCGAGGAACCCCUUGGAGAAUUGAAAACGUCUUCUGCCAGCAGUCAGUCAGCCUCGAUUGGUAGAGCAGGCAGUUCUUGGGGUGAAAAAUAUACGCUGCCGGCUACCUUUGUGUGAUACAUAUAAACGAGAUGUUUCCCUCAAAAGAAAUCGGUUCAGUUUCACAACACAAUGUUUGUUUCUCGGUUGUGUGCAACGGUCAGGCUGAAUGGAACCAUGCUACACGCGAGAUUUAACUCGAAGGAGCACGUGAUCAUUCAGGUCCAACUGGAUUAACUCUCGUUAAUUAGAAUUGAAAUUCACCCUUUGUCCGAGGGUCUCCAAUUGGAACUGUUGCCACAUCAUCUUGUUCAACGAAAUCAAGCAGAAGCGACUAAAUUUUAAGUAGCUGCUUUUAAGCGUGGAUACUGAAUGCGAAGCAGGUUCGUAACUGAGCUGCAAUCAAGCAGCGAAGAUCAGUAUCUACUUGAAGUCUGCAAAAAGGCUACUAUAAAAGGAGUCGAUGCAUCCUACACAA
Long non-coding RNA from Armigeres subalbatus, 760 nucleotides. RefSeq lists it as uncharacterized. Lineage: Eukaryota; Metazoa; Arthropoda; Insecta; Diptera; Culicidae. The record is from RefSeq and is a predicted model, not a curated record. The transcript is spliced from 4 exons.